RNAcentral lists this long non-coding RNA (1684 nucleotides) under Chinchilla lanigera (long-tailed chinchilla). RNAcentral describes it as "lncRNA (ENSCLAG00000024278.1)". Lineage: Eukaryota; Metazoa; Chordata; Mammalia; Rodentia; Chinchillidae. The record is from RNAcentral.
GGCACCCAGAGGCAGCCCUCUCCAGGGAUCCCAGAGGACCAGGCACUGGGUCCCUAAAGAGGGGCCAAGGCAGCCUGUGAAUUGGAGGUGUGGUGGCUCCAUAGAAAGGCGUAUUGGUGCUCACUGCUCAUAGCAUUCAGUCUCGCUUCCCCCUUUUAGAGUGCAAACAGAUGCAAAUUAAUGAUUGUUGCUUCCAGAAAGAAGCAAGAUGCCUCUCAGGACACCAGAAUCUACAACGGUCCUUCACUGUUCCCCCAAAAGGAAGACAAAGACCUUGCACCAUUUUCCUCAGCACCUGCUGAUCCCAGCUGAUUUCUAUCCAGAGUGGGUCCCAAGCUGGCUGGAGAGGAAUCAUGCAGGUGAGUGCUGCCCAACCUGCUUCCGUUGGAACCUCCAGAGUUGGGGAGGGAGUGCAUCUGACUUGUGCCUGGAGUGGCUAUGGUCCCUGCUCAUGCGGAGCAUGCACUUUUCAGGCCAGAUCUCCCAGGAGGAGUUUGGGUGCUACGGGAUUUGGCUGGUUCUAGAAGCAAAGAAGGUUUGUUUAGCAAGUUUCCAGGUAAGAUGGAGCUGGAAAUAAAAGCUGUUAUGACGGAUGAAAAAAUAAGCCUUGCAAAGAUUUCACUGGACUAGCAUGAUGAGCUGAAGUCAAGAAAAUUAAAUUAUACCUGUCAGGAAGCAGGAAGCACUCACAUGCUCAGAAAGUUUAACUGAAGAGAGUUACCACCCCAGGGGCUGGGGAUUUAGCUCAGCGGCAAAGCGCCUGCCUGGCAAGCGCAAGGUCGUGAGUUCGGUUCCUGGUACCAGAGAAAAACCAAAAAAAAAAGAGAGAGUUACCACCCCAGGCCGGAAAGGGCAAGGGAGCGAGGGGCUUGCCACAAGCCUUGGGGCAACUGUGCAAGAAAGGCACCACGCAGCAGCUGUGGCCCUAGGUACUGCCAGCACUGUGUCCUAGAAGAGAGAAUUGGAGUAGGUUAGAUACCCGACCUUACGCUCCCUCCUCACUUGAAACUCACCUCGACAGGGAGCCAGAUGGCCAGGGGGUCAGUGAUGCCAAGAUCCGCCCCUCCAAGACCCAGAACAAGCUAAGCACAGAGGCUGGAUCCAGAAGGGAGAAGAAGAUUCACAGCAAUCCAUGUAAAAGUGAAUUCAGCUCAGAAAGUCAGUUGCUUAAAAGUGAGAUGAACACACUGAUUUUUGCCCUGAUCAGAUCACACCUAGGAUUGUGAGCAAGACUGGGUCUCACGCCUCAGAAGGAAUAUUUACAGCCAGGCAUUCAGAGAGGCAGCUAAGAGACAGAAGAGGUGAUGACCCAGUCCAACAUGGAAAAGCUGAGGAGGGUGGGGAGUAGCACUUGAGCUGAAGAGAAGAUGAUUUAGGGAGUAGACAGUAACUUUCCCCAUGUAUCCUAAGUACACACAGGAGGACCCCUCUUUUGGUCAUCCCUCCAGCUUCUCAAUAUCCCCAGACUAUGUGGCACUACUCCUGUGGACUCCUAUGCAAGCCAUGAUUUUUCACAGCCCCCACAUUCCAACUGUCCAUUUGCUCAUCCACCUGUCCCCAGCAUUGAGAAUAGGUGCUUUUUAACCACUGCAAACCAAAACCUAGUGCUUGGCUCCUGGGAGGGGCUUGGACAGUAUUUGUGUAAUGACCAGCAUGCUCCCAGAAGAGCCGGACAGUCCCCUGC